RNAcentral lists this long non-coding RNA (4208 nucleotides) under Macaca mulatta (Rhesus monkey). Its description in RNAcentral is "lncRNA (ENSMMUG00000050626.1)". The record is from RNAcentral. Lineage: Eukaryota; Metazoa; Chordata; Mammalia; Primates; Cercopithecidae.
UUGGGGACGCCGGGCGCCACUGAGAACCCAUACGAGGCCGCCCCAGACGGCGGGUCGCCAGGUGGGGACCAGAACGGCGCCAAGGCCGACCAGAAGAACGGCGGCAAGAACUAGGGGGACGCGGGAUAAGUGCCGUGAAGUUGGCUGGACCUGUGGGAUCGACGUCUGCGCCGUCCAGGAACCGCCCAGGAGAGAGAGCGGAGCCUCGGGAGGAGGAUGUGCGCUCCGACCCGGGCAAGGUUCCCCAUCCUUCCCUCCCUCCUCUCUCCUUCCCUCCACCUGGGCUCCGAGUCAGGAUCUGACCGCGGGCUCUGCCCAGGAAGACUGAGUUCCUUGAGAGUGACACCUGGGCGCCGGGGAAGACAGGCAGAGAAGAGACGACAGCCCUUUGAUAAGAGGGUUUUUAGACUAACUUCCAGCUGUGCUGAGUGCAUGGGGCCUGCGCCCUGAGAGGUUGCCUUUCCUUUUCCUCUCCCAGCCUGGGGGUUUGCGGUGGUGUUAAGUUCUGUUAGGGCCAAGGUGGAUCGCAGUAAGGAGAUAGAGUAGAUUUGUGAACAGCUGUCGGAGGUAGAAUCUUUGCAGACCCAGAGUGGGUGGGUGUAGACACUUUGCCAUGGGUGGUGGCUUUAUUUGUAAUCCUCCCAGUGAAAGCUUUGGGAAAUCCAGCCCUCCUAAACUCUUGGCUUGCUUGUAAGACUUUCUUGUAAGCGCAUAUCUGCGUCGUAAGACUUCUCGUGGCUAUGUGUCUUACCCUACCGUUGGUCUCACCAACAAACCAGAGCUGGGAUACCAGCAAAAAUGACCCAAUUUUUUUUUUUUACCACAUUUUUUUUUACCACAUAUUUUAUUUUAACACAUAUUUAUUUUACCACAUAUUUUAUUUUACCACAUUUGAAGAGGUCGUUGACCAUCUCCCCAAAAUGAAUCCCAGCACUGGAAGACCAAGAGGGUUGACCUUUGCUAUCUUGAAAGGUGCAGCCUGUGUAGAGAAGGUAAGCUGUGUAUUCCAUCAAAGGUCUGUGUGUGCGGGAUUGCAUUUCUAAGAGAAGGCAUUCCUGGAUCAUGAUCAUUUUGAGCUGCAUGUGGCCAAAUGCACUGGGGGAAGCAGAGUUUAGGAACUUGUUCCUGUACGGAUUAAGUGGGAAGUGAAAAGUAUUAAAUAUAUGGGCUGGAGUGGUCCAAGAAGAGAAGAGUGGACAUUCAGUACCUGUUUCUGUGCCUGUUUGGGCCCCUGCACUAAAUGCUUCACAUAUGAGAAUUAGAAGAACACUCAAAGAUGCCUGAGAUAGGCAUUUCAGUGCCAUUUUACAGACGGAAAAACUAAGAUGCGGAGAGGAUUAAGCAACUUGAAGGGACCACAUAGUGAGCAGAGCGUGGAACAGCAAGGAUUUCAACCCCAGUAGCCCAGCUUUAUGUCUGGAGGAAGUAAGUCUUAGAUUGGGACUGUCAGGCCAGGAAGAAAAGUCAGAGCAUGGACAAAGGCUCUGACGGAGUGAGGACCGUUUUAUAUGUGUUGAGGUAAACCAGGUGGAUUUCCAUUUUGGAGGAAAUUGGGAAGUCAGGCUUGGGUAGAGAGUGAUGUGUUUGGAGGGCGUGAAAUAUUUUGUGCAUCUGUAUUUUGUGCAUGUGUAUUCCACCUGUGGUGGAAUCUUGUGGCUCAGAAAGAAAGAACCUCCCUCGGGUAAUGCUAUUAAGAAAUGCCAAAGAGAUUUAGAACCAGAGUCUACCUAACCCCCUUCUCAGAAGAAAUUGUUCAGGUUUUAGCACCGAAAGUCUUACAUCUUGGAAAACUGCACCGUCCCCAGUUUUAAUGCUAAAAGUCCCUCAUCCUGGGAAAUCCCUUAGUUGUGGUUUUAGCACUGACAGUCCUGCUUCCUAGGAAACUCCUUACUUCUGGUUUUAGCCCUGAACUUCCCCAAACCCCUUAGUCCUUAACAAAUCUGGAUUUGAUCCACCUACGCUUCUAUUGGAACAGAUCCUAGAUCAGGAGCACAGGCUGGGUGGCCAUAGCAUGGACCCCCAAAAAGCCACUGUCAUGAAGAAAUAUUCUGUGAAGAAAAUCUUUGCAGGGCAUUUGAACUCCCAAAGCCACUGAGGAGAAGGUAAGGGAGUACUUUGGUGAGUUUGGGGAGGUGAGUUUCUCCCCAGGAUAUGGUUUAUUGUUCCCCAGCAGCCACCAGUGGAUGCUUUUUUCUUUCUUCCUUCACUGGUGGCGUUAUCAAUGGAGCUGCUUUCUCCUCCUUUCUUGCCUUUGGAGGGCCGCCUUUUCUGAGUUCCCUUUAGGGCCUGAGCCAGGGAAAGGCAUUGGCCCUGAGCUUUGCCUGUGUUUCCAGAUGGAGGCCAGUGACCUUUCAGUAGAUCUGAAGUCUAACAAAAGACAAUGUCUUAUUUUCAUCACACCCCAAAGAAGAGGAAUCUGUGAGAAAUAUUGUGGAGAAAUUUAACACUAUCAGUGGAAGCAAGGUCAGAUGAGAAUGAUUAUAAUAUCAAUGCAACCAUGAUCCCAUCACUGAAGAAGAAGGCUAAACAACUAUGUAAUUUUGACGAUGGAUGGAAGGACACAUACUAUUGAACUAGGAAGGUAAAUAACCAAACAGAGCAUACUGCAUAAUAUGCAGAAAAAAAUUUGAGAUUGGACAUGGUGGAGAAGGGGAUGUGCAAGCACAUGUGGAGAGCAAAUCUCACAAGUAGGAUGGGAUGAGUGAAUGCUUCUAAACCAAUCGAAAAUACUUUUGUUUCCCAAAAGACACCAAUGUUCAGUCAAAAAUAGCAACUGCUGAAUUAGCAUGGGCAUACCAGGCAAACAAGCAUGCAUUGUCAUAGCAUUCCUUUGAUUGCUCUAUGAAAUUGAGUAAAGUUUCGUUUCCUGAUUUAGGAAUUGCAGCUAAAAUACCCUCUGGACAAAGAAGAGGGGAAAUUUUGAUAACAAAUGUGUUGGUCCCUUACAGUGUAAAGCGAAUUUCUGUAUCUCACCAACAAUUCUGGUUUCUAUAGUACAUCAGUUUUAAGUAAUAUGCUGAAUCAUGGCAGCAAAAAUAUGUUUCCUCCAGCUGUUAGGUACUUUGACUUGAAAACAGAAGUUUCAAAUCAUCUUCUUCAUUUCUAUGAGGAUUUUAAUGAAACUGCUGAAAUCAUAAAAUAUUGUUGAUAUUUGUCUAAAUACAACCUAGACUUAGCUCAUCUAUCUGCAUAUUUGUCAGACAGUACAGAUGUAAAUUUUGGCAAAUUCUAUUCAGUCUAUAAACUUCUUACCAAAGAAAAUGAAAAGAUCUUAUUCAUUCAAUGCCUUGUACAUCUUAUAUACAGCACUGCUAAAAAGGGAUGUGAGUUGCUUAAAUGUGAUAUUGAGACUUUCAUAAUGAAAGCUUUUGGUUACUUUUCAAUUUCCUCAAAAAGUGCUGAAGCACUUAAGGAGAUUUUUGACUUCACAGAAAUGGAAGGUGAUAACCUCUUUAGAUGUGUGCCUACAAGAUGGCUGUCAUUGCAGCGAGCCAUAGAAAAGAUGCUAAAAUGUUGGCUUGCCAUAAGACCAUAUUUUCAAAGGACAAGAAUAAUGUCCUUUGACAUUGUUUGGGAUCUGAAAGGAGAAAAAAAUCCAGAAUCUGAAGUGGGCCUUAAAAAAAUCAGUAAGUCCCUUGUGACUUUGAUUUUUAUGAAUCUGUCUCUCAAAAGCCAGGGUGCCCCUGGAAGAACUGAGACAAACUGAGUUUCUGAACAUUUGAAAAUGAGGAGCAGGCUCAAGAUCCACAGGGUGUAACCAUCCCGUGAGGCCCUGCCUCAGCAGCCAGUCAGUGAGGCUCUUUGCCUUCUUUCCCUUUCUCUGAUUCCACCUAUGUACAACUUAUGAAAACUUGCAUUACUAUAGACUGGGAGUUUUUAAAUUGGAAACUGUGAAUCUAAAGGGGCCAGAGGAUAGAAAUCAGGAAAUCUGAAAACUUCAAUGGAGAAAAGUUUUCAUUUCUUUCCGUCAGGAAAAUAGGCAACAAACCACAGCAGUAUUAGUACCUGUGUCUCUGUCGUCACUAGGAAUCACAGAUAUCCAUGUUACAGAUAUCUUAAAAUAUUUACGUACAGCACCACUUUGAAAUUAUGGUAAUAAUUAGAUCCAACCCCUAGGUCUUGUAAUCUUUAAUAUGUUAAUAAAGAAACACAUCUAUUAUAUGACAGAUUUAAAUGUCUAACAAUUUGAUUUCAAUAAAAAUUGCAUU